RNAcentral lists this ribosomal RNA (492 nucleotides) under uncultured bacterium. Its description in RNAcentral is "partial 16S ribosomal RNA". It matches the Rfam family "Bacterial small subunit ribosomal RNA", at positions 29 to 507 of the family's 1533-position model. The record is from RNAcentral.
AUUGAACGCUGGCGGCAUGCUUUACACAUGCAAGUCGAACGGUAACAGGCCUUCGGGUGCUGACGAGUGGCGAACGGGUGAGUAAUGCAUCGGAACGUACCCAGAGGUGGGGGAUAACGCAGCGAAAGCUGUGCUAAUACCGCAUGUGAUCUGAGGAUGAAAGCGGGGGACCGAGCAGCAAUGUUUGGCCUCGCGCCUUUGGAGCGGCCGAUGUCGGAUUAGCUAGUUGGUGGGGUAAAGGCCUACCCAGGCGACGAUCCGUAGCUGGUCUGAGAGGACGACCAGCCACACUGGGACUGAGACACGGCCCAGACUCCUACGGGAGGCAGCAGUGGGGAAUUUUGGACAAUGGGCGCAAGCCUGAUCCAGCAAUGCCGCGUGCGGGAAGAAGGCCUUCGGGUUGGAAACCGCUUUUGGCAGGAACGAAACGGUGUCCGCUAAUACCGGGCGCUAAUGACGGUACCUGCAGAAUAAGCACCGGCUAACUACGUG